GAGUUUGAUCGUGGCUCAGAACGAACGCUGGCGGCAGGCUUAACACAUGCAAGUCGAACGAACGUAGCAAUACGUUAGUGGCGCACGGGUGAGUAACGCGUGGAUAUCUGCCUUUUGGUUCGGGAUAACCUUGGGAAACUAGGGCUAAUACCGAAUGGUUCCUACGGGAUAAAGAUUUAUCGCCAAAAGAUGAGUCCGCGUCCGAUUAGCUAGUUGGCGGGGUAAUGGCCCACCAAGGCGACGAUCGGUAGCUGGUCUGAGAGGACGAUCAGCCACACUGGGACUGAGACACGGCCCAGACUCCUACGGGAGGCAGCAGUGGGGAAUAUUGGACAAUGGGGGCAACCCUGAUCCAGCCAUGCCGCGUGAGUGAUGAAGGCCUUCGGGUU
Molecule: ribosomal RNA, 389 nt
Filed under: uncultured Alphaproteobacteria bacterium
Lineage: Bacteria; Pseudomonadati; Pseudomonadota; Alphaproteobacteria
Description: bacterial SSU rRNA
Rfam family: Bacterial small subunit ribosomal RNA
Source: RNAcentral